AAAGUUAUUAUUAAAUGAGGUUAAAGUCUUACACAUGGUGAUUCUAACAGAGGAGCACUUCAAAUAUUUAGACUAAAAAUCAAAACACCACAGCAGUCACUAAUUUUGUCCAGAUGUUAAUACCAACACCUAGAAAAGCUAAACCAUGAGAAGAAUUAACCAAGAACUUAACACUAUCACCGAGUUAAAAUGUCUCAAUCAAAAUCCAAACCCAAAAGAAUGCUACCCAUCUAAAUUCAGACCAUGCUGUAACAGUCCCAAUUAAAUACAUGAAGAAAGUAAUUUAACUUAAUUAAGCCAAAGUAACUAGACUAAACUCUAAACAUAACCCCAAAGGGUGCUGUUAAUAACAUAACUAUAACACAUCAUAUGAUAUACUAAUUCAAUAAAGAAAAAGGAAGCAUGAAUGAUCUUCAAAAAACAAAGCCAAGCAUUCAGUAAAUUCCACUCAUCCAUAGGUGUUCAAGUUGAUCAUAUAGCUUCAAAUGUGCAUUUCAUACACUCAUAAGGUCCAAAAGGUACCUGGUUACAGCAAAAAACAACAAGGAAAAUAAGCUUGAAGUUGGAAGUAAGGCAGCAGCAGGAUUUCAGCAGUAAUGGAACAGUGCACAACAGCUUUUAAACAAUCUUUGAAUCCAAAAUGAAUUAAAAAUCCUUUGAAGGUUUCAGAGUAAAGAAGACCCUCAGCUAAUUUCAACCAAGUAAAAGGCAAUAAAACUUCAGAAUUCUUUCCAGGUUUAAGACUCAGUCGUUUCUCAGCUUUUAGGUUCUUUUUAUCUCUGAAUCUUCCUUGACAAUGAAGAAACAUGCCUCUUUAUAGAAGCUUUCUAGUGCAGCAGAAUGGGUUUCAGAUUUUGCCCAUUACUCCUUCUUUAAUUUUCAUUUUGUUCAUUUUAGACCCUGAAUUUCUAAUCCAACUACUGAACUAACCCAACCCUCUCUUUCCUGGAAGCUUCCCAGGCAGUUUCAACUAGAUUCCCUCAGUCAAAAUUCUUAAACUACCCCUUUAAACCUCCAUUAUUCACCCUCAGCAGACCACAUGGGUCAAGUCUGACCCAAGACUUAAACAGGCUUCUUGAAAUGGGUCAAAGAUGGCCUCAAAGCCCAAUCAAUAAAUUGACCCAUAUCACGAAAUCAAUUUCAGUAGUUCAGAAAUAAAGAAAAAGGAAACAAGCCUAGAGUUACAUGAUUUCAACAUCAAAACAUGAUUGAACAAACGACCUAUGAGACUAAACUAAAUAAACUACAAUUAAACCAAACUAAAAAAUUGAAACAAAACUUAAUUAACCUAAUUAGAAUAUUAGAACACGAAGGACUCUUAAAUGAGCACACUUAACAAAAUCAAACAAACAGAAUCAAAUAAAUUAGAAAAGAUGCUGACUAAAGAUGACCUUAAGCAUAGAAUGAAUACAGAAGUGAUUUGAAAAAAACAGAAAAAUAAAAAAUAAAAAAGACGAGGAAAAAACAGAAGAAGAUGAAAAUGAGAAUAAAAUGUAAAAUGAAAGAAUGGAAAAUAGUAGGAAAAAAUACCUAGAAAUAGGCGGGUUGAAGGUGGACUUUGAAAAUGUCUUCAAAACCUUCAAUUUUAGCCGAAAUCAACUUCGACUCCAAUCCUUCACUGAAACUUGACGAUUUGGGAGAUUUGGGAUUUUGGCGUUUGGGAUCUUGACCUUGAAUCUAAAAUUCAAAACGAUGGGGAGGGAUUUGAGGGAAGUUGCUUCAGGAUUUAGGAAGAGGAGGGGCUGGGGGUUAUAUGGUGUAGUUUUGAGGUGAAAUAGAGGUGGCGCCGCCAUCGGAGGGGUGAGGAUUUUAGGGCGGCGUUCUAGGGUUCUUGAGGGUCUCUGAAGGAGGAGAUGAAGUGAAGAGAGAUGGACCAGAGGGGUAGGUCAUUCGGACAGUUAUAUGGGGAACUAAAGCCAGU
RNAcentral lists this long non-coding RNA (1921 nucleotides) under Nicotiana tabacum (common tobacco). RNAcentral describes it as "long non-coding RNA (NTAB_LNC013955)". Lineage: Eukaryota; Viridiplantae; Streptophyta; Magnoliopsida; Solanales; Solanaceae. The record is from RNAcentral.